Molecule: ribosomal RNA, 433 nt
Filed under: uncultured bacterium
Lineage: Bacteria
Description: partial 16S ribosomal RNA
Rfam family: Bacterial small subunit ribosomal RNA
Source: RNAcentral
AACGAACGCUGGCGGCAUGCCUAACACAUGCAAGUCGAACGAGACCUUCGGGUCUAGUGGCGCACGGGUGCGUAACGCGUGGUAACCUGCCCUUAGGUUCGGAAUAACUCCCCGAAAGGGGUGCUAAUACCGGAUAAUGUCUUCGGACCAAAGAUUUAUCGCCUUUGGAUGGGCCCGCGUUGGAUUAGCUAGUUGGUAGGGUAAAAGCCUACCAAGGCGACGAUCCAUAGCUGGUCUGAGAGGAUGAUCAGCCACACUGGGACUGAGACACGGCCCAGACUCCUACGGGAGGGAGCAGUGGGGAAUAUUGGACAAUGGGCGAAAGCCUGAUCCAGCAAUGCCGCGUGAGUGAUGAAGGCCUUAGGGUUGUAAAGCUCUUUUACCCGGGAUGAUAAUGACAGUACCGGGAGAAUAAGCUCCGGCUAACUCCGUG